RNA transcript from Triticum urartu, 3124 nucleotides. RefSeq lists it as uncharacterized. Lineage: Eukaryota; Viridiplantae; Streptophyta; Magnoliopsida; Poales; Poaceae. The record is from RefSeq and is a predicted model, not a curated record.
CCCUCCCCUAACAAACACCCCCACCAUGCCGCUCCGCACGCUGCUCCGGCACCUCUCGGCCGGCCAGUUCGCGCGCCUGCAGGCACUCACGGGCGCGGCCACGGCGCCGGCCGCGCACCGCGUCCUCCACCUCCUCCUCCGCACCGCGCCGGCCCCUCCCCUCCCCCACCUCGUCUCCCUCGCGCGCUGGUCCCGCUCCCACUUCCGCGCGCCUCUCCCGCUCCGGUUCCACGCGCUGCUGCUGGCCCGCCUCGCCUCCCACGGUCUCCACCCGCUGCUCCGCUCCGAGCUCCACGCCCUCGCCGCCGCCCGCCUCCACUCCCCGGCCUCCAUCCUCCGCGCCCUCCCCGCGUCUUCCCCCACCACCGCGCCGCUCAUCGCCGACAUGCUCGUCCUCGCGCUCGCCAGGGCCUCCCAGCCCUUGGCGGCGUACGAGGCCUUCCACCUCCUCGGCAACAACCACCCGCGCCACCGCCCCUCCGCUUUCUCGGUGAACAGCCUGCUCUCCGCCCUUUUCGCCGCGGGUCGGGUCGACCUCGCCGAGCGGGCUUUCAAGGCGGCGCUCCGGCGACGCGUGUCCCCGGACCUUUUGACCUUUAACAUCGUCAUCUCCGGGCUCUGCAAGGCUGGGCAACUUCGCAAGGCCGGCGAUGUCGCCAAGGACAUCAGGGCGUGGGGGUUGACCCCCUCUGUGGCCACCUUCAAUGCUCUCAUCGACGGCUACUGCAAGAAGGGUCGUGUCGGGAGGAUGUACCACGUCGAUGCGCUUUUGAAGGAGAUGGUCGAGGCUGGAAUCUCGCCCAAUGUUGUUACAUUCAAUGUGCUGGUUACUGGGUACUGCCAGGACUCGAACACUGCUGCUGCGGUGAGAGUCUUUGAGGAGAUGAAGCAGCAGGGGAUUGCGCCCAGCAUGGGGACAUACAAUGCACUUGUUUGGGGUCUCUGCAGUGAGGGCAAGGUAGAGGAAGGGGUGAAGCUGGUGGAUGAGAUGCAGGAUCUGGGGCUGGCGCCUAAUGUAGUCACCCUGAAUAGUGUGCUGAAUGGGUUUUGCAAAAAGGGCAUAAUGGUAGAUGCUGAGAAUUGGGUUGAUGGUAUGGCACAGAGGAAUGUUGAACCUAACGUGGUUACUUACAAUACCUUGAUUGAUGGAUAUCGCCGGCUCGGCAAAAUGAAGGAUGCGGCGGCGGUGAAGGAGGCGAUGGCAGGGAAGGGGAUUAGUCCAAAUGUCAGAACAUACAAUUGCCUGAUAGCUGGGUUUGACCAGAGCGGGGAUUGGAGGAGUGUUUCUGGUCUUCUCGAUGAGAUGAAGGAGAAAGGUGUUAGAGCUGAUAUUGUCACUUACAAUACACUUAUUGGUGCCCUGUGCUGCAAAGGGGAAGUACGUAGAGCUGUAAAGCUCUUGGAUGAAAUGUUGAUGGUUGACUUGGAACCAGAGCAUCGGACUUACAACAACAUAAUAAAUGGGUACUGUGAGAAGGGGAACAUUAAGUCUGCCUAUGAAAUUAGGACCAGGAUGGAGAAAGGUAGGAAACGGGCAAAUGUGGUCACAUACAAUGUGUUCAUCAAGCACCUUUGCAGAAUGGGGAAGAUGGAGGAGGCUAAUGAGCUCCUGAAUGAGAUGUUGGAGAAAGGUCUCGUUCCAAAUAAGGUUACCUAUGAAAUAAUGAAGGAGGGGAUGAUGGAGAAAGGUUACGUUCCUGAUGUAAGAGGAUUCGCUUGCUCAGAAGCCUCUCAAAAUCUGACAUCCUGAAACGCUUGGUACCUGCUGUACAGCCUUCAGCUUAUGUGUCCGCACAACUAUUCUCAAGUGACAAAUCAUGCAAUAAACCUCCUCUGCUCUUGUGAUCUGAAUGUACAAAAGCUCAGUACGUACAGUGAAGUUGGACCCUUCACUGCUGUUUGUUUACUACCGGUUUUGCAAACUGGGGUGGGCAAGGAUUCUGAUCGGAUUUCGGAGAGUGCUGGAUGGGCAGUUGCCAUUGUCAGCAACAACUACAAUAACAACAGCAAUAAAAAGGAAAGAGAAAGUAUAACUAAACAGAAAAUAGGCUUAUCUGCCAUCUGUUGGGAGGACAAGAAACAAUAUGGUUACAGACAGGGCUGCACGCAGGGUUGAAAUACAGGCGGAUAGUUUCCACAUGGUCUGGAGCCAAAUCGGGGCAAAUUGAAAUUCUGAAAGAAAAUUUACUGUUUGGUCGGAGUUAAAUCCAGAUUCAAGUAGCUAUCUGCUGGAUACGGAUAUUUCCUGGAUUUGGCCGGCAGUUUCCUGAAUUUGAAAUCCAAAGUGGCGCCUCGCCAUGAUCCACCUCCAGCAGCCUAGUGUGAAGUCGCUCUAGCGUGCCACUGCAGCUUCCUUCCGUGCUUCAACCAGGCGGACUAUGCACCGUCCAGCCAGUGGAUGCCUGUAUCGACGACCUCUUUGCGCUUAUUGCACUCGUGGAGCAGAUUGGUAGAUUGAGUGGCUCGUCGUGUCACUGCUGGUUUUAUUAGGGAGUAUGUUGCUGCAACAAUCGUGUAAUUCUUGUCAGUAAUGCUUCUCACCGUUUUCCUCCUGCUCGAGGGUUUGAAUUGGAUGGCUCAAGAAGCACUGCAGGAACAUGUGUAUUUAAUAAAGUACGAUGAUUGUUCAAGCAACAAGGAAUUACACAGGAAUAUGCAACCAUACUGCACAUCUGCUCUACUCAGGACCGUUGAUGGUCUCAGAUUGGAUGGUUUGACUGUUUCAGGGUUUGGAAUUACCUUCAGAUUGACAGGAUCCAUGGCUCUGAUGUCCAGCAAUGCAUAUAUCAAGCAAGGUCAAGGUUUGGGCAUCCUUUAUUCUUCAAGUUUAUGCUCAUGGCAGCUUGGAACAUUUGGAUAUUAAGGAAUAGAAGAACUGUCAGGGGAGAGCGUGCUUCUUUUGCUACCUGGAAAUGUAAAUUUGUACAUGAUAUUCAUCUUCUAGUGCAUAGGCCUAGAGAUAGCAUCAAACAACAGGUCUUAGCUUGGGUCAACACCCUCAUGUAAAUAUAGGUAGGUAUAAUGUAGGUUCCUUCUAACUUCUGGACUUGAGACUGACUGUUCUGCUCGUACAGUGGUUAACUCUUUUAUUUCAUUAAUAAAGGGUUGUGGUCCUUGCUCUACA